UACAGAGGGGGCAAGCGUUGUUCGGAAUUACUGGGCGUAAAGGGCGCGUAGGCGGCCUUCUAAGUCGAACGUGAAAUCCCUAGGCUUAACCUAGGAACUGCGUCGGAUACUGGAUGGCUUGAAUUCGGGAGAGGGAUGCAGAAUUCCAGGUGUAGCGGUGAAAUGCGUAGAUAUCUGGAGGAAUACCGGUGGCGAAGGCGGCAUCCUGGACCGACAUUGACGCUGAUGAGCGAAAGCUAGGGGAGCAAACGGG
This 253-nucleotide ribosomal RNA is filed under the name uncultured bacterium. RNAcentral's name for it is "partial 16S ribosomal RNA". It matches the Rfam family "Bacterial small subunit ribosomal RNA", at positions 524 to 776 of the family's 1533-position model. The record is from RNAcentral.